GACUGCUCUGGUCAUGCAGUGGUUAAAGCAUCUGCCUCGGAUGCAGGAGGUCAUGGGUUUGAACCCUAGCUGAGUCA
Non-coding RNA from Potamilus streckersoni, 77 nucleotides. NCBI's taxonomy places the organism in Eukaryota, Metazoa, Mollusca, Bivalvia, Unionida, Unionidae. The record is from the annotation of a GenBank genome assembly.